This is a long non-coding RNA of Acinonyx jubatus (cheetah), 3274 nucleotides long. RefSeq lists it as uncharacterized. The transcript has 3 exons. NCBI's taxonomy places the organism in Eukaryota, Metazoa, Chordata, Mammalia, Carnivora, Felidae. The record is from RefSeq and is a predicted model, not a curated record.
CCCCUGGCCUGCGCCCCAUUCUCUCCUGCCUGGGUCACUGUGAUUGCCUCCCGACUGGUGGCCUGGCUCCUGCCCCAUGAAGUCUGUCUCCCCACCCGGCAACCAGAGUGAUCCUAGGAGAAGCAGACAUGGAAAGCUGCGAAGGGCUCCCAGGGUAGCCCUGUGCACUGAGAGAUGCUGUCAGGAAAGGAAGAAACUCGGAGGACACUUCACCUUGUGUGACCACAGAUGUUCAGCAAUGCCCUCAUCACUCACCCUCGAUUACACCCUCGAUUACAGAAAUCACUCGUUGUAACUGGAAAUGCCUUGGAGAUAAGUUUGUCCAGAGGCUGCAAACCGGCAGCCGAGUGCUGGAUGGGACUCAGCGACCAGAUUGUUCUGUGGGGCCUGCACCACAUGUUGAAAACAACAAAAUCCCGGAGCGCCUGGGUGGCUCAGUCAGUUGAGCAUCUGACUUCAGCUCAGGUCGUGAUCUCGAGGUACGUGAGUUCAAGCCCUGCGUCAGGAAAUGUGCUGACAGCUCAGAGCCUGGAGCCUGCUUCGGAUUCUGUGUCUCCCUCUCUCUCUGCCCCUCCCCCAGUUGCAUUUGUCUCUCUCUCUCUCGUAAAAGCAAAUAAACAUCAAAGGCAAAAAAAGAAAAGAACAAAAUCUGAACAGCUGUGAGCGGUUGAGGAGAGUCAAGGUCCACAGACCCCACCACUCCGUACUGCCUCACACCUAGCCGGAUUUGCACAUUUGCUCUGCUGGCCUGGACCGCCGAGGAGAAGGCCAUCUGUGCACUUCACAGGGCUCUGCCGCUUGUGAGCACCUGCCCCUGUCUGCUGAGAGUGUGUCGACCACACGUAAGAGGAACCCCGGGGGACACCUGGCUGGCUCAGUCAGUACAACAUGCAAUUCUUGAUCUCAGCCUCAUGAGUUUGAGCCCCAUGUUGUGUGUCGAGCCUACUUAAAAAAAAAAAAAAAAACUUACAAAAAUUAAAAACAAAAGAACCCCAACAACAACGAUCAAAGAGGAACCGGGACCCUGGGCCAGCCGUACAUGACAAUCAUCCCACCCCACCCCUGACCACUGUGUCACACCCAGCUUCUGCUCCUUCUGUUUUUUUUUUUUUCUGUAAAUUUUAUGAUUUAACAAAUAUGCCAAAAAAAAGACUAAUAAUCAGUGUACAUUUGGGUGAAUUUUCAAAGUGAACACAUCCAAGACUUACAAGGAGCACCCAGAUAAAGAAAGAAAAUGCAGGGGUUGCCUGGGUGGCUCAGUCUGUUAAGCGUCCGGCUCUUGAUUUCGGCUCAGGUCAUCAUCUCAUGGUUAUGGAAUUGAGUCCCACAUCAGGACUCUGUGCUGACAGUGCAGAGCCUGCUUGGGAUCCUCUCUCUUCCCUUGUCACUUCCCCUCCUCUGCUCUGUCUCUCAAAAUAAAAAAAUAAACUUAAAAAAAAAAAGAAAAUGUAAAUAGCCCCCCUUCCAGUCACUGCUCUCCCAAAGGGUGACCAUUAUUCUGGUUCUUAUCACCAUUAGUUUUCCUGCUUUUUUUUAAAAAAAUUUUCCUGCCUUUGGGGCACCUGGGUGGCCCAGUCAGUGAAGCACCUGACUUCGGCUCAGGCCAUGAUCUCACCGUUCGUGAGUUCAAGCCCCACAUCAGGCUCUGUGGUGACAGCUCAGAGCCUGCAGCCUGCUUUGGUUUCUGUCUCCCUCUCUUUCUGCCCCUCUCCUGCUCAUGCUGUGUCUCUCUAUCUCUUGUCUCUCUCUCUCAAAAAUGAACAUUAAGAAUUUUUUUAAAAAGUGUCCUGCCUUUUAAUUUAUAUAAAUAUGAUAAUAUAAUACAUGCCCUUUGAACCUGACUUCUUUUCCUUAAUGCUGCAUUCCCGAGAUUUAUUCAUGUUGUGGCUUAUGCAUCCUCACUGCUGUAUAAAAUUUCAUGAUAUAACGUGCCACAGUUUAUUUAUUCAUUUAUUCAUUCAUUUAUUAUGCUGGUGGUGGACUUUGGGGUUGUUUCCAGGUUUGGCUUUUUCAGGCUAGUGCUUUCGCAAGCAUUCCUUGUCCACGUCGUGGAGAGCGUGUGCACACCUCUGUCUGGGAAAAGCUGAGUCGUAGGCGAGGCGUGUACUCUAUUUUAGCAGAGACUUGCCACCUUCCAAAGUGGCUGUGGCAGUUUCCACCCCCACCAGCAGGGUAUGAGAGUUCUAGUUGCUUCACAUUCUCACCGAUGCUUGACAUUAUCUGUCUUCCCACAUCUAGAUAAAUCUGGUGGGCGGAUUCUUUUGUUUUGACCACAUGUUCCGUCUCACUGGCGGUCUGCUCCAGCUCCCUCAGUUUGGGGAGGAUUCCGGAGAACCGGCUUCUCUGGUCCUCGACUCUCUCCCUGCAGUUUUGAUCUAUAGCUUGUGUCCACCCCUGCAGAUCUGUAACGGGCCUCUCAGCUGGGUUGGAGGACUCCCUUCCAUGAGGAGCACCCCACCCUCGGAUGACAGCAUCCCAUUGAGUGUGGACCACCAGUAAUGGGAAGGGGGAGGAAAGGCAUGGGGAAGGUCUUCUUCAAAGGCCACACAGACCUUCUCACGACCACAGCUUCCUCAGCUGCCACCUGUGGACCUUUUCCAGGCGUUAUCACUCUCAAAACAUUGCGUAGGGAUCAAAAAUAAUCAAACAGCGCCUUGCUGGCUCAGUCGGUAGAGCAUGCGACUCUUGAUCUCGGGGUCACAAGUUUAAGCCCCACAUUUGCAUAAAGCUUACUUAAAAAAAUUAGAGGGGCACCUGGGUGGCUCAGUCGGUUAAGCAUCUGACUUUGGCUCAGGUGAUGACUUCACAGUUCGUGGGUUCAAGCCCUGCGUUGGGCUCUGUGCUGACAGCUCAGGGCCUGGAGCCUGCUUCGGAUUCUGUGUUUCCGUCUCUCUGUCCCUACCUCGCUUGUGCUCCCUUUCUAUUUCUCUCAAAAACAUAAAUAAAUAAAUAUACAUUUAUAAAAUAGAUAUAAGAGCUAAAAUUGUAAAACUCUUAGAAGAAAACGUGGGGUAAAGAUUCAUGACCUUGGACUUGUCAUUGGUUAGAUGUGACUAUGAAAGCACAAUCAAACGAAACAGUAGAUAAGCUGGACAUCAUCACGAUCAAAAACUUUUGUUUUUCAAAGGACACUAUCAUGAGAGAAAAAAAAAUGACCCACAGAUGGGAGAAAACAUCUGCAAAUCAUUUAUCAGUUAACAGGCUUGUACCUAGAAUACGUAAAGAACUCUUGGAACUCAAUAAUAAAAAGACAAAUAACUCAGUUAAAAAUGGG